RNAcentral lists this non-coding RNA (24 nucleotides) under Arabidopsis thaliana (thale cress). The record is from RNAcentral. Lineage: Eukaryota; Viridiplantae; Streptophyta; Magnoliopsida; Brassicales; Brassicaceae.
AGGACUGUGGAUGUUGUCCGGUGA